UCUCUCUGUCCUUCCCCCCAAUUGCUCUCCAUCUCUCUCUCAAAAUAAAUAAAUAUAAACUUAAAAAAAAAAAGAGAGAGAAAGGAAAGGCAACUUGGGAUAAAGGAGAUGGUGUCCAGAGCUUGGAACACUCUAGAACUGCUGCUUCCUCUUUAUCAAGGCUCUUCCACAAACAGCAGCAUCACUGAGCAAAUGGUUUCUCCUCCAACGCUUCCCUCCCAGUGCUCAUCUCAAACUUAAUCCCUCACCUCCCAUCCUCCCUCACCCCUGCAGCAGCUCAGGCCUGAACCACUGGACCUGGUGUUGUCCCCCGCGUCCCCGUCCCCGAACCAUAAUGCUCCCCCUUCCUACCACAAGCGGUCAUAGACCCCUCCCCUUUGCCACGGAGGAAAUAAGAGCUGUAAAAUUGCCUUGCCUUCAGAAUAUAGAUAUUCACGUUCAUGUACGCUCAUCUAGAGAGAGGCUGUUUGGAUCUCUGUGUCCAAUGACUUUGAAGAAUAUGGCGGAUGUGCUUUUGUCUUUGCAGGUGUAAUUAAGGCAAGGGUCUGCAGAGGAGAUCAUUGUCAAAGAGACCAGUCCAAUGACCACGUCCUUCUAAGAGGAAGGAGAGGAAACUUUGACAUACGGAGGGAAGCCUUCCUGAAGACGGAGGCAGAGGUCGAAGUGAUGCUUCCACAGGCCAAGGACAGCCGAGGAUUGCAGCAGUGGCCAGAAGCGAGGAGAGAGGCAUGGCAUGGCUUCUCCCUCAGAACCUCCGGAAGGAACCAGCUCUGACGUCACCUUGAUUUUGUACUCUGACCUCCCGAACCAUGAGAGAAUAAACUUUCGUUGUUUUAAGUGA
This is a long non-coding RNA of Felis catus (domestic cat), 841 nucleotides long. RefSeq lists it as uncharacterized. The record is from RefSeq and is a predicted model, not a curated record. Lineage: Eukaryota; Metazoa; Chordata; Mammalia; Carnivora; Felidae. The transcript has 2 exons.